This 567-nucleotide ribosomal RNA is filed under the name uncultured archaeon. RNAcentral describes it as "bacterial SSU rRNA". It matches the Rfam family "Archaeal small subunit ribosomal RNA", at positions 326 to 897 of the family's 1478-position model. The record is from RNAcentral.
CGGGGUGCAGCAGGCGCGAAAACUUUACAAUGCUGGCAACAGCGAUAAGGGGACCUUGAGUGCCAGGAUACAAUCCUGGCUGUCGUGAUGCCUAAAAAGCAUUAUAUAGCAAGGGCCGGGCAAGACCGGUGCCAGCCGCCGCGGUAACACCGGCGGCUCGAGUGGUAACCGCUAUUAUUGGGUCUAAAGGGUCUGUAGCCGGCUUGGUUAGUCUCUUGGGAAAUCCGGCAGCUUAACUGUCGGGCUUUCAGGAGAUACUGCCAGGCUCGAGACCGGGAGAGGUGAGAGGUACUUCAUGGGUAGGGGUGAAAUCUUGUAAUCCUUGAAGGACCACCAGUGGCGAAGGCGUCUCACCAGAACGGAUCUGACGGCAAGGGACGAAAGCUAGGGGCACGAACCGGAUUAGAUACCCGGGUAGUCCUAGCCGUAAACGAUACUCGCUAGGUGUCGGCCACGGUGCGACCGUGGUCGGUGCCGUAGGGAAGCCGUGAAGCGAGCCACCUGGGAAGUACGGCCGCAAGGCUGAAACUUAAAGGAAUUGGCGGGGGAGCACAAGGGCGAUUCGCG